This 359-nucleotide ribosomal RNA is filed under the name Gaidropsarus guttatus (three-bearded rockling). RNAcentral's name for it is "partial 12S ribosomal RNA". It matches the Rfam family "Bacterial small subunit ribosomal RNA", at positions 862 to 1388 of the family's 1533-position model. Lineage: Eukaryota; Metazoa; Chordata; Actinopteri; Gadiformes; Gaidropsaridae. The record is from RNAcentral.
AAAUCAUCCGCCCGGGUAAUACGAGCAUUAGCUUAAAACCCAAAGGACUUGGCGGUGCUUUAGACCCCCCUAGAGGAGCCUGUUCUAGAACUGAUAACCCCCGUUAAACCUCACCACCCCUUGUUUUACCCGCCUAUAUACCACCGUCGUCAGCUUACCCUGUGAAGGUAACGUAGUGAGCACAAAUGGCAAAGCCAUAAACGUCAGGUCGAGGUGUAGCGAAUGGGGUGGGAAGAAAUGGGCUACAUUCUCUAUUGCAGAGAAUACGAAUGGUAGUUUGAAAAAACCACCUGAAGGAGGAUUUAGCAGUAAGUAGAGAAUAGAGAGCUCUGCUGAAAACGGCCCUGAAGCGCGCACAC